UACGUACCGUCCAAACGUUAUUCGGAAUUACUGGGCUUAAAGGGUACGUAGGCGGCGCUGUCAGUCGGGUGUGAAAUCCCAGGGCUCAACCCUGGAACUACGCCCGAUACUGCAGUGCUUGAGGGAGACAGAGGUAAGCGGAACUGAUGGUGGAGCGGUGAAAUGCGUUGAUAUCACCAGGAACACCAGUGGCGAAAGCGGCUUACUGGGUCUCUUCUGACGCUGAGGUACGAAAGCUAGGGGAG
Molecule: ribosomal RNA, 245 nt
Filed under: uncultured Blastopirellula sp.
Lineage: Bacteria; Pseudomonadati; Planctomycetota; Planctomycetia; Pirellulales; Pirellulaceae
Description: partial 16S ribosomal RNA
Rfam family: Bacterial small subunit ribosomal RNA
Source: RNAcentral